UGAGUUGUAGUUUAAUUUGGCAAAACGUCAUUUUUUGGUGAUGAAUUAUAUCAGUUCGAACCUGAUCGACUCAG
RNAcentral lists this transfer RNA (74 nucleotides) under Clavaria fumosa. RNAcentral describes it as "tRNA-Gln". Lineage: Eukaryota; Fungi; Basidiomycota; Agaricomycetes; Agaricales; Clavariaceae. The record is from RNAcentral.